CAAGAAGGGAAACUUGCUCUCGGGUGACGAGUGGCGGACGGGUGAGUAAUGUCUGGGAAACUGCCUGAUGGAGGGGGAUAACUACUGGAAACGGUAGCUAAUACCGCAUAACGUCGCAAGACCAAAGAGGGGGACCUUCGGGCCUCUUGCCAUCAGAUGUGCCCAGAUGGGAUUAGCUAGUAGGUGGGGUAACGGCUCACCUAGGCGACGAUCCCUAGCUGGUCUGAGAGGAUGACCAGCCACACUGGAACUGAGACACGGUCCAGACUCCUACGGGAGGCAGCAGUGGGGAAUAUUGCACAAUGGGCGCAAGCCUGAUGCAGCCAUGCCGCGUGUAUGAAGAAGGCCUUCGGGUUGUAAAGUACUUUCAGCGGGGAGGAAGGUGUUGAGGUUA
This 394-nucleotide ribosomal RNA is filed under the name Enterobacter cloacae. Its description in RNAcentral is "bacterial SSU rRNA". It matches the Rfam family "Bacterial small subunit ribosomal RNA", at positions 69 to 462 of the family's 1533-position model. Lineage: Bacteria; Pseudomonadati; Pseudomonadota; Gammaproteobacteria; Enterobacterales; Enterobacteriaceae. The record is from RNAcentral.